This 30-nucleotide ribosomal RNA is filed under the name unidentified. RNAcentral's name for it is "partial 5.8S ribosomal RNA". The record is from RNAcentral.
UAAAACUUUCAACAACGGAUCUCUUGGUUC